This 387-nucleotide unclassified non-coding RNA is filed under the name soil metagenome. RNAcentral's name for it is "partial contains 5.8S ribosomal RNA, internal transcribed spacer 2, and large subunit ribosomal RNA". The stretch from base 1 to 120 matches the Rfam family "5.8S ribosomal RNA", at positions 35 to 154 of the family's 154-position model. The record is from RNAcentral.
GAUGAAGAACGCAGCGAAAUGCGAUAAGUAAUGUGAAUUGCAGAAUUCAGUGAAUCAUCGAAUCCUUGAACGCACCUUGCGCUCCUUGGUAUUCCGAGUAGCAUGCCUGUUUGAGUGUCAUGAAAUUCUCAACCUUUUCAGCUUUCUUUGUUGAUCAGGCUUGGAUGUGGGAGUAUGCGGGCUUCUCAGAAGUCGGCUCUCCUGAAAUGCAUUAGCGGGACCUUUGUUGCCUGGCUUUGGUGUGAUAAUUAUCUACGCCAUUGUAGUCAAGCAGCUUAAAAUGAGGUUUCAGCUUCUAACCGUCUCCCCUGAGACAACUUUUUGACAAUUUGACCUCAAAUCAGGUAGGACUACCCGCUGAACUUAAGCAUAUCAAUAAGCGGAGGA